Molecule: ribosomal RNA, 457 nt
Filed under: uncultured bacterium
Lineage: Bacteria
Description: SSU rRNA
Rfam family: Bacterial small subunit ribosomal RNA
Source: RNAcentral
AGAAUCAACGCUGGCGGCGUGCCUAACACAUGCAAGUCGAACGAGAAAGUGGAGCAAUCCAUGAGUAAAGUGGCGCACGGGUGAGUAACACGUGACUAACCUACCCUCGAGUGGGGAAUAACUUCGGGAAACCGAGGCUAAUACCGCAUAAUACCUUCGGGUCAAAGGAGCAAUUCGCUUAAGGAGGGGGUCGCGGCCGAUUAGUUAGUUGGCGGGGUAAUGGCCCACCAAGACUGUGAUCGGUAUCCGGCCUGAGAGGGCGCACGGACACACUGGAACUGAAACACGGUCCAGACUCCUACGGGAGGCAGCAGUGGGGAAUUUGCGCAAUGGGGGAAACCCUGACGCAGCAACGCCGCGUGGAGGAUGAAGUCCCUUGGGACGUAAACUCCUUUCGAUCGGGACGAUUAUGACGGUACCGGAAGAAGAGCCCGGCUAACUUCGCGCCAGCAGUCGC